GCCCGACUGGCAUAGUGGUAUUGCGUCUCACUCGUAAUGAGAAGAUCCUAGGUUCGAUUCCUAGGUUGGGCA
Molecule: non-coding RNA, 72 nt
Organism: Rhynchosporium graminicola
Lineage: Eukaryota; Fungi; Ascomycota; Leotiomycetes; Helotiales; Ploettnerulaceae
Source: the annotation of a GenBank genome assembly